AUCUGUGGUCUGGCUGUUGACUAAAUGGUUCCAUCCGACCCGUCUUGUAACACGGACCAAGGAGUCUAACAUAUGUGCAAGUUCACGGGUGGUUAAACC
RNAcentral lists this ribosomal RNA (99 nucleotides) under Climacostomum virens. RNAcentral describes it as "partial Eukaryotic large subunit ribosomal RNA". Lineage: Eukaryota; Ciliophora; Heterotrichea; Heterotrichida; Climacostomidae. The record is from RNAcentral.